Molecule: ribosomal RNA, 253 nt
Filed under: uncultured bacterium
Lineage: Bacteria
Description: partial 16S ribosomal RNA
Rfam family: Bacterial small subunit ribosomal RNA
Source: RNAcentral
UACGUAGGGUGCAAGCGUUAAUCGGAAUUACUGGGCGUAAAGCGUGCGCAGGCGGUUUUGUAAGUCUGACGUGAAAUCCCCGGGCUUAACCUGGGAAUUGCGUUGGAGACUGCAAGGCUAGAAUCUGGCAGAGGGGGGUAGAAUUCCACGUGUAGCAGUGAAAUGCGUAGAGAUGUGGAGGAACACCGAUGGCGAAGGCAGCCCCCUGGGUCAAGAUUGACGCUCAUGCACGAAAGCGUGGGUAGCAAACAGG